CGGUUGAUCCUGCCGGACCCCACUGCUAUCGGGGUAGGAUAAGACAUGCUAGUUGAGCGUCUCCCAAGCUAUUGUAGAGACGUGGCAUACAGCUCAGUAACACGCGGCCAACCUACCCUUGGGACAAGAACAACCCCGGGAAACUGGGGCUAAUUCUUGAUAGGUGAGAAAUCCUGGAAUGGUUUCUCACCCAAAGGACGUCUAAACCAUGCUUUUAGACGUCGCUCAAGGAUGGGGCCGCGGCCGAUCAGGUUGUUGGUGAGGCAACGGCUCACCAAACCUAUAACCGGUACGGGCCGUGAGAGCGGAAGCCCGGAGAUGGGGACUGAGACAAGGCCCCAGGCCCUACGGGGGCGCAGCAGUCGCGAAAAACUCCGCAAUACACGAAAGUGUGACGGGGCUACCCCCGAGUGCCAUCCGCUGAGGAUGGCUUUUCCCCGCUGUAAGAAAGCGGAGGAAUAAGGAGAGGGCAAGCCUGGUGUCAGCCGCCGCGGUAAUACCAGCUCUCCGAGUGGUGGGGAUGUUUAUUGGGCUUAAAGCGUCCGUAGCCGGCCUGACAAGUCUCCCGUUAAAUUCAACGACUCAAUCGUUGAGCUGCGGGAGAUACUGUCAGGCUAGGAGGCGGGAGAAGCCGACGGUACUCUCGGGGUAGGGGUGAAAUCCUAUAAUCCCGGGAGGACCACCAGUGGCGAAGGCUGUCGGCUGGCACGCGCUCGACGGUGAGGGACGAAAGCUGGGGGAGCGAACCGGAUUAGAUACCCGGGUAGUCCCAGCUGUAAACGAUGCGGGCUAGGUGUUGGAGUGGCUACGUGCCACUCCAGUGCCGCAGGGAAACCAUUAAGCCCGCCGCCUGGGAAGUACGGCCGCAAGGCUGAAACUUAAAGGAAUUGGCGGGGGAGCAC
This 902-nucleotide ribosomal RNA is filed under the name uncultured archaeon. Its description in RNAcentral is "bacterial SSU rRNA". It matches the Rfam family "Archaeal small subunit ribosomal RNA", at positions 5 to 879 of the family's 1478-position model. The record is from RNAcentral.